This 23-nucleotide non-coding RNA is filed under the name Arabidopsis thaliana (thale cress). Lineage: Eukaryota; Viridiplantae; Streptophyta; Magnoliopsida; Brassicales; Brassicaceae. The record is from RNAcentral.
GUGAUCUAUUAGUAGUAGGUGAC